This 404-nucleotide long non-coding RNA is filed under the name Nicotiana benthamiana. Its description in RNAcentral is "long non-coding RNA (NBEN_LNC030466)". The record is from RNAcentral. Lineage: Eukaryota; Viridiplantae; Streptophyta; Magnoliopsida; Solanales; Solanaceae.
CCAGCCCGGUCAAGUUAAAAAUGGAUCAAAGCCAUUGCAUGAACUCUUGACAUCACCACCACCAUGGGUGGAUUUCCCGUCGAUGGUUGCUUUCCGGAAAUAUGAAGCUCUUGAUCUUAUUUCUGUCCUACGUGCAGAGAAUGAAUCGCGCGAAACUUUACUGGGACAUGAUGCCUUUAUAGAAGGGGCAUGUAGAGCUGUGGCUAUACGUACUUGCAUCGAAGCUCUUGAUCUAAUUUCUGUCCUACGUGCAGAGAAUGAAUCACGCGAAACUUUACUGGGACAUGCUGCCGCAGUAGAAGGCUCAUGUAGAGCUGUGGCUAUACGUACUUGCAUGGAAUUUGAAGGUGAAUACCUGGAUACAUAUAACAAAGUCGCAGGUAAGCCAGUGAUUCCGAUCGGUU